UACGGAGGGUGCAAGCGUUAUCCGGAUUUACUGGGGUUAAAGGGUGCGUAGGUGGGUCUGUAAGUCAGUGGUGAAAUCUCCGAGCUUAACUCGGAAACUGCCAUUGAUACUAUAGGUCUUGAAUUAUCUGGAGGUAAGCGGAAUAUGUCAUGUAGCGGUGAAAUGCUUAGAUAUGACAUAGAACACCAAUUGCGAAGGCAGCUUACUACGGAUCGAUUGACACUGAGGCACGAAAGCGUGGGGAUCAAACAGG
RNAcentral lists this ribosomal RNA (253 nucleotides) under uncultured bacterium. Its description in RNAcentral is "partial 16S ribosomal RNA". It matches the Rfam family "Bacterial small subunit ribosomal RNA", at positions 524 to 776 of the family's 1533-position model. The record is from RNAcentral.